UACGUAGGGGGCAAGCGUUGUCCGGAAUCAUUGGGCGUAAAGCGCGUGUAGGCGGCUUGGUAAGUCCGCUCUGAAAGCCCGGGGCUCAACCCCGGGAGGCGGGUGGAUACUGCCAGGCUAGAGUCCGGAAGAGGCGAGUGGAAUUCCCGGUGUAGCGGUGAAAUGCGCAGAUAUCGGGAGGAACACCAAUGGCGAAGGCAGCUCGCUGGGACGUGACUGACGCUGAGACGCGAAAGCGUGGGGAGCAAACAGG
This 253-nucleotide ribosomal RNA is filed under the name uncultured bacterium. Its description in RNAcentral is "partial 16S ribosomal RNA". It matches the Rfam family "Bacterial small subunit ribosomal RNA", at positions 524 to 776 of the family's 1533-position model. The record is from RNAcentral.